GCCGGCGUAGUCCAACGGCAGAGACGACUCCCUUAAGAGGAGUUCAGUGCGGGUUCGAAUCCCGCCGCCGGCACUA
RNAcentral lists this transfer RNA (76 nucleotides) under Chloroflexota bacterium. RNAcentral's name for it is "Chloroflexi bacterium tRNA-Leu". It matches the Rfam family "tRNA". Rfam says of the family: Transfer RNA (tRNA) molecules are approximately 80 nucleotides in length. Their secondary structure includes four short double-helical elements and three loops (D, anti-codon, and T loops). Further hydrogen bonds mediate the characteristic L-shaped molecular structure. tRNAs have two regions of fundamental functional importance: the anti-codon, which is responsible for specific mRNA codon recognition, and the 3' end, to which the tRNAs corresponding amino acid is attached (by aminoacyl-tRNA synthetases). tRNAs cope with the degeneracy of the genetic code in two manners: having more than one tRNA (with a specific anti-codon) for a particular amino acid; and 'wobble' base-pairing, i.e. permitting non-standard base-pairing at the 3rd anti-codon position. Lineage: Bacteria; Bacillati; Chloroflexota. The record is from RNAcentral.